CACGACACUCUUUAGGGCACUCAUCAUAGUGGCAAUGGCAAUGAAGAAAGAAAAAAUUCUUUCAGUGCGAAACUCCUUCAUCAGGGGAUCGGUUGUGAGAUAUGUGCAGCUUCCCCCAGAUGGAGUUGAUGUUGAUCUCCUUCAUGAUGCCACUAGGAGAGAAGCUCGUGGUGGCUGAUUGUUAUUUUCAUCCUAUUGGAUACUUAAGGAGAAGAGCUUAAUGGGCUGGUCUUGCGGUGAUAAUUGAUCUCUAGUCUAAAUAUCUCAGACGUAUUGAUUAUAGGUGGCUAAUUUCAUUCAUGUUGACAAUUUGUCCUGCUCCUUGGUGGGACAAAAAGAAGAUUUUCUUAAUUUUUAAAGUCAUUAUGCACUAUUGCUUGAGAGGAAUUCAUCUAGAGGGGUUUUGAGAACGUUCCAAGUACAUGUAUAAAGAGGAUCUAAUGAGUUACAAUGCAUCAGUUGGGUUAUAUUUACCUUCCAGGACUUGAUGUUAAUGGGUCGGCAAGCGGCAAGCGGCAAGGGCCUGUUUGUAUACACAUAUGAUGUUCCUUUCCAGAAACAGUUAGUACUGUUCCAUUUUUCUGGGACCAGAGAAAACAUUUGGCAUUGUCUAUCCUGUUCAAGAAUCAGAGUGGAUUGAUCGGUUGAACACGGGUAAAUUAGAGCUGGGCAUCCCAGUGGGAACAUGAAUAUGAAAUGUAUCCAGAUGGCCAUAGAAUACUGAAGGUUGAGGAUGGAUGCUGUUUGUGCAAUCUUGACUUGGACCACUCUGUUCCUUGUGGCUUUUCUAAGAGGUUUUGGGCUGCUGGGUUCCUUUGUCUUAGAACUGAGAACAUUCAAGGAUCUACUCAUUUUAUUAUAUGAAAUCACUCAACUCUUCCUAUGGACAGCUAGGAAUGAUCUUUUUUCUCUGGAAAUAUGAACCUAACCCUCACCUUAUAUUCUCAAAUUGGAAACA
Long non-coding RNA from Macadamia integrifolia, 958 nucleotides. RefSeq lists it as uncharacterized. Lineage: Eukaryota; Viridiplantae; Streptophyta; Magnoliopsida; Proteales; Proteaceae. The transcript has 2 exons. The record is from RefSeq and is a predicted model, not a curated record.